AACUAAGCGAGCUACUUUAAAACAGCUUAUAGAGCCAACUCAUCCCUGUUACAAAAUGGUGAGAAGAGUUUAAAGUAGAGGUGAUACACCUAUCGAGCUUAGAGAUAGCUGGUUAUUCAAAAAAGGGAUUUAAGUCCCACUUUAAGUUUUCCUAGUACUACAAAACACUCAAUAAACUUAAAAGCCAUUCAAAUAAGGUACAGCCUAUUUGAACAAGGAAACAACCUAAAAUAUAGGGUAAUCUUUACUAACAUGGCUAAGUAGACUUAAAAGCAGCCAUCUUCCAAAAAGCGUCCAAGCUUCCCCCCCCCC
RNAcentral lists this ribosomal RNA (312 nucleotides) under Stumpffia staffordi. RNAcentral describes it as "partial 16S ribosomal RNA". It matches the Rfam family "Bacterial large subunit ribosomal RNA", at positions 719 to 1165 of the family's 2925-position model. Lineage: Eukaryota; Metazoa; Chordata; Amphibia; Anura; Microhylidae. The record is from RNAcentral.